AGAGUUUGAUCAUGGCUCAGAACGAACGCUGGCGGCAGGCUUAACACAUGCAAGUCGAACGCUCGUAGCAAUACGGGAGUGGCAGACGGGUGAGUAACGCGUGGGAACAUACCCUCCGGUUCGGAAUAGCUCAGGGAAACUUGGAUUAAUACCGGAUACGGCCGAGAGGCGAAAGAUUUAUCGCCGGAGGAUUGGCCCGCGUUCGAUUAGCUAGUUGGUGAGGUAACGGCUCACCAAGGCGAUGAUCGAUAGCUGGUCUGAGAGGAUGAUCAGCCACAUUGGGACUGAGACACGGCCCAAACUCCUACGGGAGGCAGCAGUGGGGAAUAUUGGACAAUGGGCGCAAGCCUGAUCCAGCCAUGCCGCGUGAGUGAUGACGGCCUUAGGGUUGUAAAGCUCUUUCGCUCGGGACGAUAAUGACGGUACCGAGAUAAGAAGCCCCGGCUAACUUCGUGCCAGCAGCCGCGGUAAUACGAAGGGGGCUAGCGUUGUUCGGAAUUACUGGGCGUAAAGCGCGUGUAGGCGGGUCUUUAAGUCAGGGGUGAAAUGCCAAGGCUCAACCUUGGAACUGCCUUUGAUACUGAGGACCUUGAGUCCGGGAGAGGUGAGUGGAAUUGCGAGUGUAGAGGUGAAAUUCGUAGAUAUUCGCAAGAACACCAGUGGCGAAGGCGGCUCACUGGCCCGGAACUGACGCUGAGACGCGAAAGCGUGAGGAGCAAACAGGAUUAGAUACCCCCGUAGUCC
RNAcentral lists this ribosomal RNA (744 nucleotides) under uncultured bacterium. RNAcentral describes it as "bacterial SSU rRNA". It matches the Rfam family "Bacterial small subunit ribosomal RNA", at positions 8 to 796 of the family's 1533-position model. The record is from RNAcentral.